Molecule: transfer RNA, 76 nt
Filed under: Bathyarchaeia archaeon
Lineage: Archaea; Thermoproteati; Candidatus Bathyarchaeota; Bathyarchaeia (SeqCode)
Also listed under: 1 other name
Description: Candidatus Bathyarchaeia archaeon tRNA-Gln
Rfam family: tRNA
About the family: Transfer RNA (tRNA) molecules are approximately 80 nucleotides in length. Their secondary structure includes four short double-helical elements and three loops (D, anti-codon, and T loops). Further hydrogen bonds mediate the characteristic L-shaped molecular structure. tRNAs have two regions of fundamental functional importance: the anti-codon, which is responsible for specific mRNA codon recognition, and the 3' end, to which the tRNAs corresponding amino acid is attached (by aminoacyl-tRNA synthetases). tRNAs cope with the degeneracy of the genetic code in two manners: having more than one tRNA (with a specific anti-codon) for a particular amino acid; and 'wobble' base-pairing, i.e. permitting non-standard base-pairing at the 3rd anti-codon position.
Source: RNAcentral
AGCCCGGUGGUGUAGUGGACAAGCAUUGCGGGCCUUGGACCCGUAGACGGGAGUUCGAAUCUCCCCCGGGCUACCA